Molecule: long non-coding RNA, 6572 nt
Filed under: Ananas comosus (pineapple)
Lineage: Eukaryota; Viridiplantae; Streptophyta; Magnoliopsida; Poales; Bromeliaceae
Description: long non-coding RNA (ACOM_LNC003288)
Source: RNAcentral
CCUUCAAGGACUUAGCCAAAUUUUCCGCUUUUUCAUCGUUUUAGCUCCGUUUUCGCUCGUUUUUGCUCGUUUGACCUCCGAUUCAUUUCAAAUCGAACCGAGACUCUCCAAACAUGUUUUCGAACAUAUUUUCAUCAUCUUUUCACCCACGCUAAUGCCGGAUUUAACUCACGGUUCAACAUAGCCUUUCGGCUCCGUUUUCGCGCCCUAUGCGCACCGAAGCACCCGAAUGCUCCCGAACUUCGCCGGGACGAUUCCAAUGGCUUUCUAAGCUAACUUACAUCGUAACUUCGUGAAUUUAGAAGUUCGGUAUAUUACAUUCUCCACCCCUUAAAAGAAUUUCGUCCGCGAAAUUCAAACACAACUCGAUUCAGCUCCUCGAGCAAUUGAGGGCACCAAUACACUUUCCACUUCGGAAUGGCUUUACACUCCUUGGAACUAUCCAAAAGGACUACCACGGAGUUCAUGAUACUAAAUGCAUCCAAAUUUGCAAGGCGCAUCUCACAAAGUGCAUUAGGGUAUCCAUCACUCUUGGUGGCGGCGCAAGUCGAAACUCAACGACUCCACGCGCUCCAAUACCACUUGUCACUUGGCAUACAAGAACUCUUCUUCGCAUUUACUUUCCCCUCAGGGAAUACACUCCGAUUCUAUCUCCAACAUUGCUUAAAAGCAACAUCACUAGUGCAUCGCUUCACCGCGAGUGCUUUAAUUCCGCACCGAUCUUUAGCUCUAACAUGAGCCACCUCGGCACAUCCCAAAUCCAAUCCUCAAACUCCACGUGGCUUCUCACAAGUUCAAGGUCUCACCACGAGCACUUCAUCUUCUGAUACCAUAUGCCACGGCCAACGUCUUAUUACUUUCGCAAAGAGCUCACAUGAACACGUUAUUUGUGAACUCAAAUCAAACUCCCCGAUAAGGCUAUUCGCCAAAUCACUUUCCUCGACUUUCCACAGGUGGGCCAAAGGCCACCCAUACUACGUAGGCCUACAGCCUAAACCCGUCUCAAUACUCGACGUCCCUCGCUCGCAAGCGUAGACCCAAUCAUCGUUGGGGCGAAAUUCUCACUGGGAAAUUCGCACACACUCCAACCAGGAGCAACUAAAAUCCCAAACCGUUACAGAUUCCCGGGUUGGGUCACACUCGCACUCUCAGUAUACUAUCAAUCGCACUAUACGCUCUAUAGCACAAUACGUACCACUAUCAGCUCCUUUGCACCUAGUGCGAGCCACCAGCCCCACGAGUGAUCCGUGGCACGCUUCACACCUAGCAAUGCUCAGGUGCUACUGCCAACACACUCAUCCGGCUGAACUAAAUCCGCACUCCACGAGUAACUAUACUCGAGCGCUAUAUGCGCCUCUAUAGCAUUCCAACUAUGUCAAGCAUCAGGCAACUUUGCCUAUGCACACCGGCCACACGAGCACGACUCACCCACCUCAAUUCGAGAUACUACUAGGCCAACGCGCCCGUAUUUGGCAGCCAAUCGCUCUACCGGAGCAACAUCUAGAACACUCAAACCAUUCGAGUGUCCACAAGUGUCAUGACACAACUCUUGCAAUCAAUUACAUACAUUGCUCUGCAAGUUGGUUCGUCAUUUCCACCUCUACUACAAGUCUCAUCAUUAGACCAUCACUAGCAACUCGCUAGUACCAUCCAGUUCUCUACCUGCACCGGCAGGUGCAACGCUCUCACCACAUAAGCGUGCCCGGGUACUUACAUUUAUCCGCGCACUUGGAUCCUACUAUGCUACUACAUAAAUAGUAGUAAUUAAUUACAUGCUCAAUGCAUGCAAUGCACCAACUUUACAUUAUGCAGAAACACAUGACUGCAUUAAUGGCUCAUACCUGCCAUGACGUUGUCAGCAGCAGGUUCCAUAUCCCGGACAUAGUUCACGAUAGGGAGAAUUCCCGUUCGUACUCUCUAACUGAGCGGUCUCCUUGCCGCAGCUUCCUGAACUUGUCCUGAAGCUUUCUCUUUUCACUGUCGGGGGAAGUCAGUAGAAGAUACCAAUCCCCGAAACUCAUCCCAUGCCAUGGAGGAAUACUAGGUGAUCGGUUCCGCCGAAUGCCUUUCCACCACGCCUUAGCCGACUGUUUCAAACAAUACACGACUAGGGGUACCCUGUCCAGCUCCAAGGUAGACAGCUCCUCGAAAAGCGUUUCCACAGAGUCAAUCCACGUAUCCACAAUCCACGAAUCGACAUUCUCUCCAUCGAAGAUAGGUGGAUCAAACUUUAUGAAGGUCAUGAGGGCUGCCAAAGCCCGCUCUUUCUCAUUCUUUUCCUUUCCUUCCUCUCUCUUUCUUUGUCCUCUAGAGAGAGAAAGAGAAGUGAGAGAGUGUGAGGGUGAGGAUGAGAAAAUAUCUCAUUCACCCAUCAUACUCAGCCUAUUCAUUGCAAAAUUGCAACUAAGUCUCUCAACUUUUAUUUCACAACACUGCCCAAACUGGGCAGACUUCGGGCUCUGAGACCGGUCUCCCCGACCAUGGGACCGGUUCCUGAGAGCUCUCCCCGCGGCAGCAGAGCUCGUGCGCAAUGCAACCGCUCUCCCCUGGUGAGACCGGUCUCUCGGGGACCGGUCUGUCCCCUUGGGACCGGUUCCCGAGAGCUGCGUUUCCAAGACUUAGCCAAAUCUUCAGUUCCCAGACUCCACACGCGCUCGGGGACCGGUCUCCCCGACUUGGGACCGGUCCCUGAGAGCUGAAAACCUGCAGCUUUGCAGAUUUUCAAUUCCAACGCUCUCGAAGACCUCUCCGAGGCACUUUUACUCAUUUUGACGUCCUCGGCCUCUCCGAAGCACACCCAUUUCAUACUUUGGUCACUUUGACUAAAGUUCGAUAUUUCGACCACCGAGUUUCGAUAUAUUACAUCUACAAUUUUUUUUUUGGAGUCUCUUAAUUCCCUCCCCUUGGUGCAUAGCAGCCUCUUGCGGCCGCUGCACCACAUCAGCUUGUUGCCUCACCACACCCACAAGCGUGGCCAACUGUUCGCGAAGUUCCAAGUCUCCGCGCGCCUCGGAUUGCUCAGGGACAUCACUUGUCCCACCCCGCGUCGAUCUAAACGAAGAUCGCCUACGCGGUGCCAUCGUUACCUAGAACAUGACAACUCAACUAACUCUCAACCUUCUAGGUCGAGUAUGAAACAAUUGACACCAACUCAAAUCGGGCGAAAGUCAUACAAGGGCAUCUAUUCUCAUCACUCGGUUUCAUGUUGUACGCGUCCAACAUGAACACCCUCGGUUGAGAAUAGACAACACCUUGGAUCUACCUCUAAUCUCCUUUUUAGAGGUUUACAACACAACCCAAUCCCUUAACCUUUCGCCAAAAGUCAUAAGUCCUCGUCUCUCACGAGCCUUAAUCUCCUAUGGUUUACUAUCCUAGGGUCUCCUAGGUUCAUCUAAACCACUUUUCCAUUCUCUACUUUAUGCUCUGAUACCAUCUUAUCUGUCACGCCCCGAGCCCGCCUCUUUGGUCGGAUUCGGGCACGCCAACAGACCGCCGAACGGACAGGGUUUCCCCUACACGCGGACAGAGUCUCCCCUGUACGUUCAAGGCGUCGCAAUCAAUACAAUUACAAGAGGUUCCAAACAGGAACAAUUUUCAACAACGAUUGCAUAAGGAAGGUAUCAAACAACAUAACACAUCCUAUAUUAUUACAAUCAUUCAUCUCAUCAUUUUACAUCGCAUUUUUCAUUACAUUGAUUCUCAACUUCCAAAUAUACAAUCGAUUUCUUUUCUUUUCUUUUCUUAUACCCCUAAGGAGCCGACUCAGGGUACUGCUAUCUGGUCUCUGUGGUAGGGCGCUAACUACGGAGCUACGCCCUUUCCUCGCGCCGCCGCGCCGCUCGCGUGUGAACCUGUACCCCCAAAAACAACAACACGGAGGUGAGACUAUUGUCCAUAGUCGUCAGUGGGUACAGCCACCCAAGGGAAGAGCUCAACCCACCAGGUCCAAAGGAGGCACUGCAACAUGUUAGUCCAACAGAUAUAUACAUAUAACAUCAUGCAAUACAUGUUCAUGCCUCACAAAUAUGCAAAUUAUGCAACUCUUAGUCAUUCUUUACCAUUAGCCUUUCUUUAGAAUAUGCAAUUCUUUAUCAUUAGCCAUUCUUUAUUCUUUAUUCUUUGCUAAGGGCACUCGCACCUUAGGCCCAUUAUACACAUUUGCCAUUCUUUAUAACAUUAACAAACGUUUCUCAAUUGUCAUUCUUACUCAAUUGUCAUUCUUUCACAGGGUUACCUUUACCCUAGCCAGCUAUGCCACUCGACUCGGUCUUGAGUCAAUUCAUAAUGAAUACAAGAUCCACUUUCCAAUCCAUGAUUCCUUUUUGUUCUUUGUUCUUUAAUCUCACGGCUAACCCGGGGGUUUCGCCACAUUAACUUGCUUCACAUUAAGUCCAUCAUCGCAGGAACUCACCAGCUAGGACCGUCCUUCGGGUUUACUCCAACCCGUGAUGCAAAACUCCGGAGCGCAUCGCCCGAGGGGGAGCGACCGCCCUCGAGCACGGAACUCAUAGCAAGUAUGAUCAUAUCCUUAACUCAAAGGAUUUGUAGUUGAAUCAUGGCUUUACACUAACUUUAGUGUUCUUUACAUCACAUUAGUUGCUAACUCUAGCAAUCAUUGUUCUUUACACCCAACUUGUCAAUUACUCUAGUAAUUGUCAUUCUUGAUACCACACUUGUUCUUUUGUUGCCUCACACUAACUCUAGUGUGCUUCAUGUCACAUUGGUUGCUAACUCUAGCCAUUAUCAUCGUUCUUUACACUUUGCUUGUUCUUUAUGCCACAUUACUUUACAUCGCCUCAAGCCAUUAUCAUUAUUCUUUACAUCACAUUGCUUUGCCUUGUCUCAAGCCAUUAUCAUUAGGUUCUCACAUUACAUCUCCUGCAUACACAUAGAUUAUUUAGAUUCUUAAUCAUUCUAAUAAGCACGUGUACUCACAUCAUGCAACAUUACAUUAUUAUCAUCACAUUGUUUUACAUUAUCUUUAGCCAUUAUCAUUAUUCUUUACAUCACAUUUAUUCUUUGUUGUGCCACACUAACUCUAGUGUCCACUUUACCAUUUCGAAUGCCACUCGAUCUAUGUUCAACAUGCAUAUAUUUUGUCAUCCAUUGGUAGUCAUUACUUAGCAUUUUAUGUAUUCGUUAACAUUUACUACAUGCAUUCUCGGUUAGUACAAAUCUCAUACUUUCAUUUGACAUCUAUUUAGCAUUUCUAUAAUAUGCACAUGUAAAUUAACAUCAACUCAUGCAUUCAUUUGGCAUCUAUCUUUAUCAUGCAUUCUUAAAUAGCAUACUUUAUCAUGCAUUCUCAAAUAGCAUAUUUUAUCAUGCAUCAAUAGUAAACAUACUACACUUUGGCAUGGAAAGCGACCUAAUCGCUUCGGUGAGCACAACCCACCUCAAAACGCUUUCUGAUUGCUUGUCGACACUUGCAAUCGGCCUCCCGCGGCACUCGUAGCCCGGUUUGGCCCGAACUCUUGCGCGACCACCCGAACGACCACCAAUUCGCGAUCCGUCUAUUCGGGAGUUUAUUCCCCGACACCACGAUGCUCCCGAUCCAUUCUCAUGAUUUUUGGAGGCUUAUCCCGCGUGCUGCGGCUAUCUGUACCAAAACAGAUUGUUUCGUCAAUAACUUCGCGUACACUCGUCGGAUUGUCGAACCGAGCGCACCAACGCGUUCGUUUGGUCCCCAAUUAGGUUUAUAGAGGGUCAAUUGAGAUCAAACCCAACUAUUUACAAAAACCCUCUUUAGGAGCCCUAAUAUGCAACUAUUGCAAAAUCCACCAUUUCAUCUCAUGAAUCAAGCAUAAACCAUCUAUUUAGCAUGCUAGGAUUCCAUUAAAAUCAUCUUUAGAGUAUAAGAACUUAACCCUAAAGAUCUACCAUUAGAGAGCAUAAGGCUUACCUCUCUAAGCUUGCUCCCAUGGCUCAAGGAAGGAGAUGAAGAUGAAGCUCCAUCUUCUUGGCCUCUUCUCCUUCAUCUUCUUCUUUUUCUUCUCUUUCUUUCUCUUCUUCUCCUUUUCUUUCUAGAGAGAGAGAGGGAGAGGUUUUGGUGUGGGAGAGUGAGAGAAAUGAGAGAAAGAGAGAAAGGGUCCUCUCUAUACACUCUCAUAAGUGCCAUUUUGCACUUAAGCCCCUCCACAAUGCUUCCCUCGCAACAGCCCAAACUGGGCAUUUUCGGGCUUCGGGGACCGGUCCUUGCGAUGAGAGACCGGUCCCUGAGAGACCGGUCCUUGGCUGAGAGACCGGUCCCCGAAGGUCCAGAAAUCAGCCUUCAAGGACUUAGCCAAAUUUUCAGCUUUUUCACCGUUUUAGCUCCGUUUUCGCUCGUUUUUGCUCGUUUGACCUCCGAUUCAUUUCAAAUCGAACCGAGACUCUCCAAACAUGUUUUCGAACAUAUUUUCAUCAUCUUUUCACCCACGCUAAUGCCGGAUUUAACUCACGGUUCAACAUAGCCUUUCGGCUCCGUUUUCGCGCCCUAUGCGCACCGAAGCACCCGAAUGCUCCCGAACUUCGCCGGGACGAUUCCAAUGGCUUUCUAAGCUAACUUACAUCGUAACUUCGUGAAUUUAGAA